Molecule: non-coding RNA, 45 nt
Filed under: Trypanosoma brucei brucei
Lineage: Eukaryota; Euglenozoa; Kinetoplastea; Trypanosomatida; Trypanosomatidae
Source: RNAcentral
ACAAUACAAAGAAGCGAAACGUGUAUCUAUAUAUGGAAAUUUAAU